GGGGGUGUUCUGGCUUCGCCUGGAUGGUGAAUCCUUUAGAAGCGGGUCGAGGAGUUCCUUUCACUCGUAAAACACUGGGAACUAUAAAAUUAUCUGCAAACGAUAAUAAUUACGCUUUAGCUGCCGCGUAGGCAGUUAACGCCUGAGCGGGUCCUGUCUGUGGAGUCGCCUCAGGUGCCAUAAAAAGCAGACUAACCUUCUUCUGAUGUCUGUAAGAAGAAGGGACAUUUAACAGGCUGGCAGUAAGUAAUCCUGUUCAGUGGAGUGCUUACUGUGAGAUUAAAAGCUGAACUACGCUCGUAGAAACUACUGGGUGAGCCAUUCAGUACGUGGGUUCGACUCCCACCACCUCCACCA
This is a non-coding RNA of Halanaerobium kushneri, 357 nucleotides long. Lineage: Bacteria; Bacillati; Bacillota; Clostridia; Halanaerobiales; Halanaerobiaceae. The record is from Rfam.